RNAcentral lists this ribosomal RNA (468 nucleotides) under uncultured bacterium. Its description in RNAcentral is "partial 16S ribosomal RNA". It matches the Rfam family "Bacterial small subunit ribosomal RNA", at positions 28 to 507 of the family's 1533-position model. The record is from RNAcentral.
GACGAACGCUGGCGGCGUGCUUAACACAUGCAAGUCGAACGGAAAGGCCCUGCUUUUGUGGGGUGCUCGAGUGGCGAACGGGUGAGUAACACGUGAGUAACCUGCCCUUGACUUUGGGAUAACUUCAGGAAACUGGGGCUAAUACCGGAUAGGAGCUCCUGCUGCAUGGUGGGGGUUGGAAAGUUUCGGCGGUUGGGGAUGGACUCGCGGCUUAUCAGCUUGUUGGUGGGGUAGUGGCUUACCAAGGCUUUGACGGGUAGCCGGCGUGAGAGGGUGACCGGCCACAUUGGGGCUGAGAUACGGCGCAGACUCCGACGGGAGGCAGCAGUGGGGAAUAUUGCACAAUGGGCGGAAGCCUGAUGCAGAAACGCCGCGUGCGGGAUGAGGGCCUUCGGGUUGUAAACCGUUUUCGCCUGUGACGAAGCGUGAGUGACGGUAAUGGGUAAAGAAGCACCGGCUAACUACGUG